RNAcentral lists this ribosomal RNA (429 nucleotides) under Chloroflexota bacterium. RNAcentral's name for it is "Chloroflexi bacterium partial 16S ribosomal RNA". It matches the Rfam family "Bacterial small subunit ribosomal RNA", at positions 355 to 776 of the family's 1533-position model. Lineage: Bacteria; Bacillati; Chloroflexota. The record is from RNAcentral.
UGGGGAAUAUUGCACAAUGGGCGCAAGCCUGAUGCAGCCAUGCCGCGUGUGUGAAGAAGGCCUUCGGGUUGUAAAGCACUUUCAGCGGGGAGGAAGGCGAUAAGGUUAAUAACCUUGUCGAUUGACGUUACCUGCAGAAGAAGCACCGGCUAACUCCGUGCCAGCAGCCGCGGUAAUACGGAGGGUGCAAGCGUUAAUCGGAAUUACUGGGCGUAAAGCGCACGCAGGCGGUCUGUCAAGUCGGAGGUGAAAUCCCCGGGCUUAACCUGGGAACUGCAUUCGAAACUGGCAGGCUAGAGUCUUGUAGAGGGGGGUAGAAUUCCAGGUGUAGCGGUGAAAUGCGUAGAGAUCUGGAGGAACACCGGUGGCGAAGGCGGCCCCCUGGACAAAGACUGACGCUCAGGUGCGAAAGCGUGGGGAGCAAACAGG